This 200-nucleotide ribosomal RNA is filed under the name uncultured eukaryote. Its description in RNAcentral is "partial 18S ribosomal RNA". It matches the Rfam family "Eukaryotic small subunit ribosomal RNA", at positions 588 to 787 of the family's 1831-position model. The record is from RNAcentral.
GCUCCAAUAGCGUAUACUAAAGUUGUUGCAGUUAAAAAGCUCGUAGUUGAAUUUCUGGUCGUGGAGAUCGGUCCGCCCCUCACGGGGUGUGCACUAGGUUUCUGCGUCCAUCCUCGGGGAGAGCACGUCUGGCAUUCAGUUGUCGGGCGUGGGAUCCUCGUCAUUUACUGUGAGCAAAAUAGAGUGUUCAAAGCAGGCUU